This 240-nucleotide unclassified non-coding RNA is filed under the name soil metagenome. Its description in RNAcentral is "partial contains 5.8S ribosomal RNA, internal transcribed spacer 2, and large subunit ribosomal RNA". The record is from RNAcentral.
AACCUAGCACACCUGCGGUGUGUACCUGCGGAAGGAUCAUUACUGAGUGCGGGCCCGCUCCGGGCCCAACCUCCCACCCGUGUCUCUUGCGUACUUUGUUGCUUUGGCGGGCCCACCGGGUCACUCCGGUCGCCGGGGGGCGCUAUGCUCCCGGGCCCGUGCCCGCCAGAGCACCCCUGUGAACCCUGAUGAAGAGAGGCUGUCUGAGUCCCACGAUAAUCGUUAAAACUUUUAACAAUG